Molecule: ribosomal RNA, 566 nt
Filed under: uncultured bacterium
Lineage: Bacteria
Description: bacterial SSU rRNA
Rfam family: Bacterial small subunit ribosomal RNA
Source: RNAcentral
AGUCGAGCGAACAGAUGAGAAGCUUGCUUCUCUGAUGUUAGCGGCGGACGGGUGAGUAACACGUGGGUAACCUACCUAUAAGACUGGGAUAACUCCGGGAAACCGGGGCUAAUACCGGAUAAUAUUUUGAACCGCAUGGUUCAAUAGUGAAAGACGGUUUCGGCUGUCACUUAUAGAUGGACCCGCGCCGUAUUAGCUAGUUGGUAAGGUAACGGCUUACCAAGGCGACGAUACGUAGCCGACCUGAGAGGGUGAUCGGCCACACUGGAACUGAGACACGGUCCAGACUCCUACGGGAGGCAGCAGUAGGGAAUCUUCCGCAAUGGGCGAAAGCCUGACGGAGCAACGCCGCGUGAGUGAUGAAGGUCUUCGGAUCGUAAAACUCUGUUGUUAGGGAAGAACAAAUUUGUUAGUAACUGAACAAGUCUUGACGGUACCUAACCAGAAAGCCACGGCUAACUACGUGCCAGCAGCCGCGGUAAUACGUAGGUGGCAAGCGUUAUCCGGAAUUAUUGGGCGUAAAGCGCGCGUGGGCGGUUUCCUAAGUCUGAUGUGAAAGCCCACGG